Molecule: transfer RNA, 72 nt
Filed under: Candidatus Sungiibacteriota bacterium
Lineage: Bacteria; Candidatus Sungiibacteriota
Description: tRNA-Met
Rfam family: tRNA
About the family: Transfer RNA (tRNA) molecules are approximately 80 nucleotides in length. Their secondary structure includes four short double-helical elements and three loops (D, anti-codon, and T loops). Further hydrogen bonds mediate the characteristic L-shaped molecular structure. tRNAs have two regions of fundamental functional importance: the anti-codon, which is responsible for specific mRNA codon recognition, and the 3' end, to which the tRNAs corresponding amino acid is attached (by aminoacyl-tRNA synthetases). tRNAs cope with the degeneracy of the genetic code in two manners: having more than one tRNA (with a specific anti-codon) for a particular amino acid; and 'wobble' base-pairing, i.e. permitting non-standard base-pairing at the 3rd anti-codon position.
Source: RNAcentral
GGCUGUGUAGUUCAACGGUUAGAACAGAGCACUCAUAACGCUCAAACGGUGGUUCGACUCCACCCAUAGCCA